GUUUUUAAGUAUUCCGAAAACAUUACAUAAAAGCCUGACUUUUAAUCAGUAGGUCUCGGGUUCGAACCCCGACGCUCUCACCA
RNAcentral lists this transfer RNA (83 nucleotides) under Rhizobium leguminosarum. Its description in RNAcentral is "tRNA-Lys". It matches the Rfam family "tRNA". From Rfam's summary of the family: Transfer RNA (tRNA) molecules are approximately 80 nucleotides in length. Their secondary structure includes four short double-helical elements and three loops (D, anti-codon, and T loops). Further hydrogen bonds mediate the characteristic L-shaped molecular structure. tRNAs have two regions of fundamental functional importance: the anti-codon, which is responsible for specific mRNA codon recognition, and the 3' end, to which the tRNAs corresponding amino acid is attached (by aminoacyl-tRNA synthetases). tRNAs cope with the degeneracy of the genetic code in two manners: having more than one tRNA (with a specific anti-codon) for a particular amino acid; and 'wobble' base-pairing, i.e. permitting non-standard base-pairing at the 3rd anti-codon position. The record is from RNAcentral. Lineage: Bacteria; Pseudomonadati; Pseudomonadota; Alphaproteobacteria; Hyphomicrobiales; Rhizobiaceae.